UUAAAAUUGUUGCAGUUAAAAAGCUCGUAGUUGAAUUUCUGCUGCAUUGCUUGUGUCCCUCUGGGGUCUGUGCAUGUGGCUUUUUUCGGACGGAGUUUCUUUGUCUGAAUGUUUACUUUGAGAAAAUUAGAGUGCUCAAAGCAGGCUUUCGCCUUGAAUAGUUUAGCAUGGAAUAAUAAAGUAGGACUUUGGUUCUAUUUUGUUGGUUUUAGGUACCAAAGUAAUGGUUAAUAGGAACAGUUGGGGGCAUUCGUAUUUAACUGUCAGAGGUGAAAUUCUU
This 280-nucleotide ribosomal RNA is filed under the name Theileria annulata. RNAcentral's name for it is "partial 18S ribosomal RNA". It matches the Rfam family "Eukaryotic small subunit ribosomal RNA", at positions 606 to 921 of the family's 1831-position model. Lineage: Eukaryota; Apicomplexa; Aconoidasida; Piroplasmida; Theileriidae. The record is from RNAcentral.